Molecule: ribosomal RNA, 485 nt
Filed under: uncultured bacterium
Lineage: Bacteria
Description: partial 16S ribosomal RNA
Rfam family: Bacterial small subunit ribosomal RNA
Source: RNAcentral
AUUGAACGCUGGCGGCAUGCCUUACACAUGCAAGUCGAACGGCAGCACGGGUGCUUGCCCCUGGUGGCGAGUGGCGAACGGGUGAGUAAUACAUCGGAACAUGUCCUGUAGUGGGGGAUAGCCCGGCGAAAGCCGGAUUAAUACCGCAUACGAUCCACGGAUGAAAGCGGGGGACCUUCGGGCCUCGCGCUAUAGGGUUGGCCGAUGGCUGAUUAGCUAGUUGGUGGGGUAAAGGCCUACCAAGGCGACGAUCAGUAGCUGGUCUGAGAGGACGACCAGCCACACUGGGACUGAGACACGGCCCAGACUCCUACGGGAGGCAGCAGUGGGGAAUUUUGGACAAUGGGCGAAAGCCUGAUCCAGCAAUGCCGCGUGUGUGAAGAAGGCCUUCGGGUUGUAAAGCACUUUUGUCCGGAAAGAAAUCCUUGGCUCUAAUACAGUCGGGGGAUGACGGUACCGGAAGAAUAAGCACCGGCUAACUACGU